Bubalus bubalis (water buffalo) is the source of this 792-nucleotide long non-coding RNA. RefSeq lists it as uncharacterized. The transcript has 3 exons. The record is from RefSeq and is a predicted model, not a curated record. Lineage: Eukaryota; Metazoa; Chordata; Mammalia; Artiodactyla; Bovidae.
UGGACACCCUAGGGGCAGCUCUGGGAGGCACACCUGGAACCCACUUCUUUCCACCACCUCCCUCAGUGCCUCUGUCUUCCCUCCAGGUCCAUCCAAAGUCCAGAGUCUGAACCAGGUCAUCAGCCCCCUGGGGCGUGUGGCUCAGAUUUUCCUUUCACACUUCUGCAGCAAUUCUCAUGGGGAGCAGACCUCUCCCUACAACAGGGGUCUCAGUGGCAAUGACUUUGCCUCUUGGGGAAUAUUUGGAAAUUUCCAGGGACUUUCAUGGUUGUCACAACUUUGGAGGUUAUGUGGCUGGCAUCCCGUGGGUGCUAAGCAUCCUACAGUGCAGAGGGCAGGCCCCCCAACAAAGAAUUCUCUAGCCCCAGCUGUCAUAGUGCCAAGAUCAGUUCCUUCUUGGCAUUCCCCUGUGCAAGUCCCCUCAACCAGGACUUCAGUGGCACUCAGGAUUCCUCCUUAACUUCAGCUGGAUUCACCUUCAGGAAAGCUGGAUCUGAAAACAUCCCUCUCCUGCUCAAAGACCUUCUGUGGAUCCUCCAUUUUCCCCUGAGGUUAGAAGUCCAAAUUCCUCCAUAAAAGCCCAAUCCAUCUUUGCAACCUUAUCAGCCACAGCCCUCUAAUUAUCCUGCACAUUACGGUCUAGGUUCCCCUCACCUUUCUCACAUUCUCACUGCCGUGAUCUUGCUCAUGCUGCAUCUGGAUGACUUUUAUCCAUUAUCUGCUACUCUUCAGCCAAGUGUUUUCUCAAAUAGCAGGUCCAUCAUAGAGCCUUGGCUGAUGGCCCUAUCUGGA